This 747-nucleotide long non-coding RNA is filed under the name Capsicum annuum. RNAcentral describes it as "long non-coding RNA (CANN_LNC018796)". The record is from RNAcentral. Lineage: Eukaryota; Viridiplantae; Streptophyta; Magnoliopsida; Solanales; Solanaceae.
GAUGCUAUUGUAUGUUAAGGUAUGAGAAGAGAAUCUUCUAUUUAUAAAAUUUCAAAACAAGAGGUUAGCUAAAUAUGGAAAAAAAUUAUAUUUUUUCUUUCAAGAAAAGUAAAAGUAAUUAUGGUAACUUUUAUUUUCCUUCUAAGAAAAAAUAAAACUUAAAUAUAAUAAGAAAAUCAGGACAAAACCCCUAAAAAAUCUCCCCUUUUUGGCUUGAGUUUCUUCAAAAUAUUCUUGAUCCUUCUUCUCUUCAUAUCACGUGCAUGAACUUCGUUCUUGAUAUAAUCUUCAUAACUGUUGUUUGCCAUGAUUAAAAAUUGGUUUAAAAGUAAUAUUUUAUUUUUAUUUUUAAAGAUGCAGCAGUAGGAGUGUUGAAAAUAUGGUUGAAACUUGUUCUCCACAUGUAGUUCGACAAAAAACUUCGUUAUCCCCCAAAUUAUUGCAGCUUGAUUUUGAAAACCGCUUUGAACCUGUUUAAUCUCGUCUCACCACACCAUUGGACUAUUGAACCGUAAACUCUGAUACCACUUGUUUGGUUCGAAAUCGAGAGGGCGUCAUGCGGAAGCUAUUAGUUACAAACUAUUGAAACGAUAAAUCAAACAAAAAGAAAAACAUACUAAAACAUGAUUAUUAUAUAAUUUGACCAAUUGAUCUACAUAUAAAAACUUAGUAUAAAAGAAAAUAUAAAAUUAUUAGAGAGAAAAUAUCCCUCUAAAUAAAGACACUUUAAAGACUACAUUGUGGAUG